UCUUGCCUUAGCCUCCCAAGUAGCUGGGACUACAGGUGUGCACCACCAAGCUUGACUAGUUUUUUUCUUGUUUUCAUUUUUUUUGUUUGUUUGUUUGUUUUGAGACAGUCUUAUUUUGUUGCCCUCAGUAGAGUACUGUGGUGGCAUAGCUCACAGCAACCUCAGACUCCUGGAUUUAAGCGAUUCUCUUGCCUCAACCUCCUGAGUGGCUCUGGCUGGUAUGGAACUCCUGACCUCAGGCAGUCCGGCUGCUCGGCCUCACAGAGUGCUAGAUUACAGGUGUGAGCCACUUUGUACUAGCCACAGAGUGCUAGAUUAUAGGUGUGAGCCUAGCUUUUUCUAUUUUUGGUAAAGAUGGGUCUCCCUUUUGCUCACGCUGGUCUUAAACUCCUGAGCUUAAGCAAUCCACCUGCAUUGGCCUCUCAGCACAAAAAAAAGGUUUUGAUGCUUUAUAAGCUGAACUGUUUAGAACUCCAGUGGUUCGGCUGCUCCAGGGGUCAGAAUGUCAUACCCAGGCUAUCCUCCUACAGGCUACCCACCUUUCCCUGGAUAUCCUCCUGCAGGUCAGGAGUCAUCUUUUCCCUCUCCAGGCCAGUAUCCUUAUCCUAGUGGCUUUCCUCCAAUGGGAGGAGGUGCUUACCCACAAAUGCCAAAUAGUGUCUACCCAGGAGCUGGAGGCUAACCUGCACCUGGAGGUUAUCCAGCCCCUGGAGGCUAUCCUGGUGCCCCACAGCCAGGGGGAGCACUAUCCUAUCCUGGAGUUCCUCCAGGCCAAGGAUUUGGAGUCCCUCCAGGUGGAGCAGGCUUUUCUAGCUAUCCACAGCCACCUUCACAGUCUUAUGGUGGUGGUCCAACACAGGUUCUACUACCUGAUGGCUUUCCUGGAGGACAAGCUCCUUACCCUAGUCAGCCUGCUGCGAUGACUCAGGGCACUCAAGGAACAGUCAGACCAGCUGCCGAGUUUGGUGCUAUGAGAGAUGCAGAAAUUCUCCGUAGAGCAAUGAAUGGUUUUGGGACAGACGAGCAAGCAGUUGUGGAUGUUGUGGCCAACCGUUCCAGUGAUCAGAGGCAAAAAAUUAAAGCAGCUUUUAAGAUCAUGUAUGGCAAGGAUUUAAUGAAAGAUCUCAAAUCAGAGUUAAGUGGAAAUAUGGAAGACUUCCUGUUCAUGCCAUCUACAUAUUAUGAUGCCUGGAGUUUACGGAACGCAAUGCUGGGAGCAGGAACUCAGGAACAUGUAUAGAUUGAGAUUUUGUGCACAAGAACAAAUCGGGAAAUCCAAGAAAUCGUCAGAUGUUAUCAAUCAGAGUUUGGACGAGACCUUGAAAAAGACAUUAGGUCAGAUACAUCAGGGCAUUUUGAUUUACUUGUAUCUAUGUGCCAGGGAAACCGUGAUGAGAACCAGAGUGUAAACCACCAUAUGGCUCAGGAAUGCUCAGCAACUCUAUCAAGAUGGUGAAGGAAGACUAGGGACAGAUGAAUCUUGCUUUAACAUGAUCCUUGCCACAAGAAGCUUUCCUCAGCUGAAAGCUACCAUGGAGGCUUAUUCUAGAAUGGCUAACCGAGAUUUGUUAAGCAGUGUGGGCCGUGAAUUUUCCGGAUAUGUUGAGAGUGGUUUGAAGGCCAGCUUGCAGUGUGCCCUGAACUGCCCUGCUUUCUUUGCUGAGAGGCUCUACUAUUCCAUGAAAGGUGCUGCCACAGAUGACUCCACCCUGAUCAGGAUUGUGGUCACUUGAAGUGAGAUUGAUGUUGUGCAGAUAAAACAGAUGUUUACUCAGAUGUAUCAGAAGACUCUGGGCACAAUGAUUUCAAGCCACACAAGCAGAGAUUACCUACGGCUUCUUUUGGCCAUUGUGGGCUAGUAGGAAGGAUGUUUUUUUUCUUUUCUUUUUUUUUUUUUUUUUUUUUCUCACAUGAAUGAAGCUAUUCAAAGCAGUGACUGACCUGCAUGCAGCAGUAUCAGCCAUCACCUAACUGAAAAAAGCUUUUUACUAAGGACUGUGUCAGGGUUAUGUGCUUGGUUUGCACAUG
RNA transcript from Nycticebus coucang (slow loris), 2028 nucleotides. It is a transcript of the gene named annexin A7-like, with no coding region annotated. The transcript has a single exon. The record is from RefSeq and is a predicted model, not a curated record. NCBI's taxonomy places the organism in Eukaryota, Metazoa, Chordata, Mammalia, Primates, Lorisidae.